UACGUAGGGUCCGAGCGUUGUCCGGAAUUAUUGGGCGUAAAGGGCUCGUAGGCGGUUCGUCACGUCGGGAGUGAAAACUCGGGGCUUAACUCGGUGCUUGCUUUCGAUACGGGCAGACUAGAGGCAUGCAGGGGAGAACGGAAUUCCUGGUGUAGCGGUGAAAUGCGCAGAUAUCAGGAGGAACACCGGUGGCGAAGGCGGUUCUCUGGGCAUGUCCUGACGCUGAGGAGCGAAAGUGUGGGGAGCGAACAGG
Molecule: ribosomal RNA, 253 nt
Filed under: uncultured bacterium
Lineage: Bacteria
Description: partial 16S ribosomal RNA
Rfam family: Bacterial small subunit ribosomal RNA
Source: RNAcentral